This 1730-nucleotide ribosomal RNA is filed under the name Ochyrocera jarocha. Its description in RNAcentral is "SSU rRNA". It matches the Rfam family "Eukaryotic small subunit ribosomal RNA". Lineage: Eukaryota; Metazoa; Arthropoda; Arachnida; Araneae; Ochyroceratidae. The record is from RNAcentral.
GAUUAAGCCAUGCAUGUCUAGGUACAUGCCGCCUCAAGGCGAAACCGCGAAUGGCUCAUUAAAUCAGUUAUGGUUCAUUAGACCUUACCUCACUACUUGGAUACCUGUGGUAAUUCUAGAGCUAAUACAUGCACCCAAGCUCCGACCCUUCGGGGAACGAGCGCUUUUAUUAGACCAAGACCAACCGGGCCUCGCGGCCCGUCCGUCGUGGUGACUCUGGAAAACUUUGGGCUGAUCGCACGGGCUCGUCCCGGCGACGCAUCUUUCAAGUGCCUGCCUUAUCAACUUUCGAUGGUAGGUUACUCGCCUACCAUGGUUGUUACGGGUAACGGGGAAUCAGGGUUCGAUUCCGGAGAGGGAGCCUGAGAAACGGCUACCACAUCCAAGGAAGGCAGCAGGCGCGCAAAUUACCCACUCCCGGCACGGGGAGGUAGUGACGAAAAAUAACGAUACGGGACUCAUUCGAGACCCCGUAAUCGGAAUGAGAACACUCUAAAUCCUUUAGCGAGGACCCACUGGAGGGCAAGUCCGGUGCCAGCAGCCGCGGCAAGACCGGCUCCAGUAGCGUAUGCUAAAGUUGUUGCGGUUAAAAAGCUCGUAGUUGGAUCUCAGUUCCAGACGCGCGGUCCGCCUCACGGUGGUCACUGCCCGAACUGAACAACCUGCCGGUUUCCCUCGAUGACCUUCGCUGAUUGUCCCGGGUGACCGGCGCGUUUACUUUGAAAAAAUUAGAGUGCUCAAAGCAGGCGCCCCGCCUGCAUACCGUUGCAUGGAAUAAUGGAAUAGGACCACGGUUCUAUUUUGUUGGUUUUCGGAAUUCGCGGUAAUGAUUAAGAGGGACAGUCGGGGGCAUCCGUAUUGCGACGCUAGAGGUGAAAUUCUUGGACCGUCGCAAGACGAACUACUGCGAAAGCAUUUGCCAAGUAUGUCUCCAUUAAUCAAGAGCGACAGUCAGAGGAUCGAAGGCGAUCAGAUACCGCCCUAGUUCUGACCAUAAACGAUGCCAACCAGCGAUCCGCCUGGGUUCCUCAAAUGACUCGGCGGGCAGCUUCCGGGAAACCAAAGUCUUUGGGUUCCGGGGGAAGUAUGGUUGCAAAACUCGAACUUAAAGGAAUUGACGGAAGGGCACAUCAGGAGUGGAUCUUGCGGCUUAAUUUGACUCAACACGGGUAAGCUUACCUGGUCCGGACACUGGAAGGAUUGACAGAUUAAGAGCUCUUUCUUGAUUCAGUGGAAGGUGGUGCAUGGCCGUUCUUAGUUGGUGGAGUAAUUUGUCUGAUUAAUUUCGAUAACGAGCGAGACUCUAGCCUGCUAAAUAGGCGUCCCGAUCGAACCUUCGGGCGCUUUUCUUAGAGGGACAAGCGGCGUUUACCCGCACGAGACAGAGCAAUAACAGGUCAGAUAUGCCCUCAGAUGUCCGGGGCCGCACGCGUGCUACACUGAAGGAAUCAGCGUGUGCUGACCCUGUCCGGCAGGACUGGGUAACCCGCUGAACCUCCUUCGUGACAGGGACAGGGGCUUGGAAUUUUCCCCUCGAACGAGGAAUUCCUAGUAAGCGCAAGUCAUCAACUUGCGUUGAUUAAAUCCCUGCCCUUUGUACACACCGCCCGUCGCUAAUACUGAUUGAACCCCUUAGUGAGGUCUUCGGACUGGCGCUCGUAGCGGCCCCUGGUCGCGACGAAGUGCCGGAAAGAUGCCCGAACUUGCGCGCUUAGAAGAAGUAAAAGUCG